AUCCAGUUGAAGAGUCCCAAAUAAAACGAAACGCGCGGCCUGGAU
Molecule: non-coding RNA, 45 nt
Organism: Schistosoma haematobium
Lineage: Eukaryota; Metazoa; Platyhelminthes; Trematoda; Strigeidida; Schistosomatidae
Source: Rfam